RNAcentral lists this ribosomal RNA (497 nucleotides) under uncultured bacterium. RNAcentral's name for it is "partial 16S ribosomal RNA". It matches the Rfam family "Bacterial small subunit ribosomal RNA", at positions 28 to 507 of the family's 1533-position model. The record is from RNAcentral.
GAUGAACGCUGGCGGCGUGCCUAAUACAUGCAAGUCGAGCGAACGGACGAGAAGCUUGCUUCUCUGGUGUUAGCGGCGGACGGGUGAGUAACACGUGGAUAACCUACCUAUAAGACUGGGAUAACUUCGGGAAACCGGAGCUAAUACCGGAUAAUAUUUUGAACCGCAUGGUUCAAAAGUGAAAGACGGUCUUGCUGUCACUUAUAGAUGGAUCCGCGCUGCAUUAGCUAGUUGGUAAGGUAACGGCUUACCAAGGCAACGAUGCAUAGCCGACCUGAGAGGGUGAUCGGCCACACUGGAACUGAGGCACGGUCCAGACUCCUACGGGAGGCAGCAGUAGGGAAUCUUCCGCAAUGGGCGAAAGCCUGACGGAGCAACGCCGCGUGAGUGAUGGAGGUCUUCGGAUCGUAAAACUCUGUUAUUAGGGAAGAACAUAUGUGUAAGUAACUGUGCACAUCUUGACGGUACCUAAUCAGAAAGCCACGGCUAACUACGUG